RNAcentral lists this ribosomal RNA (420 nucleotides) under uncultured bacterium. RNAcentral's name for it is "bacterial SSU rRNA". It matches the Rfam family "Bacterial small subunit ribosomal RNA", at positions 954 to 1372 of the family's 1533-position model. The record is from RNAcentral.
GCAUAACGCGAAGAACCUUACCAAGGCUUGACAUGUGCCAGACCGCCUCAGAGAUGGGGUUUCCCUUCGGGGCUGGUUCACAGGUGGUGCAUGGUUGUCGUCAGCUCGUGUCGUGAGAUGUUGGGUUAAGUCCCGCAACGAGCGCAACCCUCGUUCCAUGUUGCCAGCACGUAGUGGUGGGGACUCAUGGGAGACUGCCGGGGUCAACUCGGAGGAAGGUGGGGAUGACGUCAAAUCAUCAUGCCCCUUAUGUCUUGGGCUUCACGCAUGCUACAAUGGCCGGUACAAUGGGUUGCGAUACUGUGAGGUGGAGCUAAUCCCUAAAAAGCCGGUCUCAGUUCGGAUUGGGGUCUGCAACUCGACCCCAUGAAGUCGGAGUCGCUAGUAAUCGCAGAUCAGCAACGCUGCGGUGAAUACGUU